UGCCAGCCGCCGCGGUAAUACGGAGGGGGUUAGCGUUGUUCGGAAUUACUGGGCGUAAAGCGCACGUAGGCGGACUGGAAAGUAUGGGGUGAAAUCCCGGGGCUCAACCCCGGAACUGCCUCCAAAACUAUCAGUCUAGAGUUCGAGAGAGGUGAGUGGAACUCCGAGUGUAGAGGUGAAAUUCGUAGAUAUUCGGAAGAACACCAGUGGCGAAGGCGGCUCACUGGCUCGAUACUGACGCUGAGGUGCGAGAGUGUGGGGAGCGAACGGGAUUAGAUA
Molecule: ribosomal RNA, 279 nt
Filed under: uncultured bacterium
Lineage: Bacteria
Description: partial 16S ribosomal RNA
Rfam family: Bacterial small subunit ribosomal RNA
Source: RNAcentral